Lagenorhynchus albirostris (white-beaked dolphin) is the source of this 9600-nucleotide long non-coding RNA. RefSeq lists it as uncharacterized. NCBI's taxonomy places the organism in Eukaryota, Metazoa, Chordata, Mammalia, Artiodactyla, Delphinidae. The record is from RefSeq and is a predicted model, not a curated record. The transcript is spliced from 9 exons.
GCAGGUGGCUGGCCUUGGGCCCCGUGGGGGCAGGUGCAGGCGGAGGUGGCUGGCUGGGGGACAGCUCGGGGGGGCGGGGCCCGAGCCACGAGGAGCCUCUGAAAACCCGCCUCUGGGUUUGGGAACGAGGGGGCUUUGGAGACCCCGCCGAGCCGCAUUCAGAGGUGAGCGCGGGCUGGAGACCCUCACCCUGAGCGUCAGGGCCCCAGGGCUGCCGGGACAGGCCGCCGCGAGCCUGGCGGCGUAAGACGGCACAGACUGGCUAUCCUACAGCCGUGAAGGCGGGAGCCGAAGCGGGCCUCCCUGGGCUGGAGCCGAGGCACAGGCAGGGCUGCCUCCCGGGGGCUCCGGGGCAGAACCCCUUCCUGGCCUCUAACAGCUGGAAGCGGCCGCACGCCUCGGCUCCGGGCCCCUCCUCCACCUUCCCGGCCAGCGGCCAGCAGUCCUGUUCUCUCUAGGGCUCUGCCUCCUGCUGUCACAUCUCUACUCUGACCCCCCUGCCGUCCCCCACAAGGACCCCGUGACGACACCGGCCUCCCCAUGACCCUGGAUCCCCCUGCCUCAGGGUCCUUCACUUAACUGCGUCUUUGCCGUGCUGGAGGAGGCCCUCGGACGGCGCCGCCAGCCUGGGCAAGUGGACAGGUGGACAUCGGCUUCCUCCAGGGCUCAGCCUUUGCCCAGAGGGGGUGGCGGGGAGCCCGUGGGUCCAGAGAGUGCGUCCCCCUCAGGACCGCCAGCUGAGUCAGUGCCGGGUGUCACUGUCCCUGAUGAGAGGGUGGACCCCGUAGCAUCUGAAGUGCAUUCUGGUUACCCUUCCUGCCACAGGUAAUUCUGAUUUCCUGAUCUAACCCCUGCCUUCUCCUCCUUUCCUUCUGUGAUGUUUAAUUUUAUGUAUGGACUUGGCUGGGCCACGGGUGCCCAGGUACUUGGUGAGACUUUCUUCUGGGCGUCUCCGGUUGAGAGUAACAUCUGAACGGGUGGUCUGACGCAAGCAGGUGCCCUCCCCUCGCGGGUGGGCCUCGUCCAGUCCCGGAGGCCUCAACAGAGCAGAAGCGAGGGAUGCAGAAUCGGCUCUCCUGGCCCGACGGACUCCAGCUCGGACAGCGGCCUCCUGCCUUUGGACACAGACUCAGGCAGGACCUCGCACGUCCGGCUCCCCUGGGUCUCCAGCUGGCCCGCUGCCGACCUGGGGACUUGUCAGCUUCCGUGACAGUGCGUGAGCCAACUCCUCACAAUCAAUGGGUGCAUAUAUCCGGCCUGCUUUACACUUCUACACGUAACACACAUCACAUGUGCGUUCUGUUUCUCUGGAGAACCUGUCGCCCCCGCCAAGGUCAACGCCCCGCUUGUCCUGCAGCUGGUCUGUCUUGGUGGCAGCUCCCCGGGGCCCUCCUCCCUUCGCCCUGGGCUGGCGCUUCCUCCUCCAGGACCCAGGGGUCUCCUAUCUCCCAGGUAUAAUAACCACCACAAAAAAAAAAAAGCACCACAAAAAAACAAGCAGAGAGCCUCGUUCCUCUUGACUGAAGAACCACUGAUGAGCGACCACCUCCACAAGGACCACACUCCAGUCCUGGUCCACAGAAGAUAUAUGGUCGGGGCAAACUCAAGACAGCCGGGAGGGAGAACCUGAGGUUGAAGAGGCUCAAGACGCGUGCCGGCGGUCGCAACGCGUGGGCCUCGUGUGCAUCUCCGUCAGGCCAACUGUACAAACGCCGUUCCUAGCAGCGUCCAGGAGCCUGGAACCUGAGAGGUUCUCUGUGCUGACGGCAUUAUAGCUACAUUGUGGGAAUACAGCUGAAGUGUGAAGUGACGCCUGGGAUCUACUCAGAACAGCCAGUUCCCUGACCAGGGUUUGAACCCUCGCCCCCUGCAGUGGACGCGCGGAGGCUUAACCACUGGAGCCCUGAGUCCUCAUCUUCAAUGAAGGCAAAUCCUCAGACUCUGUGUCUCAGAAGAGUCCCCGCCUCUUUUCUCCUUCUGGGAAUCGCGAACCUGCUGCUGUUUCCCCAUCCUUCUCCAUCCAUCGCUGUGUCGUCAGGGUGGCCCUUCAUCCCUCCCGAGUCCGUGCCUCUUCUCGGUUCUCUCUGAGCCCUGGCUCCUGCCUCCGGCUUCCUGAGCCCCUGCCCUUUGGGCUUCUCUGUGAAGCCCCGUCCGGUCAGUCAUUCCGCCCAGAACAGCCGGACCCGUGGCUUCUUUCUCCACCUCGGCCUGGACGCCCGGGCUCCACCACAGAGCUUGCGGAGCUGGGAGAGGCGCUCAGGACCAAGGGGUGGGGCCCUCUCCCUACCCUGCCCGCAGGGCCCACCAGGGCCUCGACCAGCAGCCCAGCCCCUCCUGCUUGCCUCCACCCAUCCUAAGCCCCCAAAGCCCCCGCGCCCUCCGGCCUCAGCCCCUGCCCAUCCCCCCACCCGUGCCGGCGCUAAUCUGGGGCUCAGUGCUGGGGGCAGCCCUACACCUGCACCCCAGGUGCCCAGACUCCUCACUGGGGUCCCCCAGGAUGCGGGGAGGGGGUGCCUGCUGUCCGCGACCCUUACUGACGCCGCCCAGGGUGCCCGUGGCGGCCCCUCGGUCACCGGCCAUUCCCCGCGUACAGCUGAGCCGACAUGCAGGCGACACCACUGCUCCUUCACUACACCGUGGCCCACGCACCCAGGGCCUGCUCCUGGACGUGCACCGUCCUGUGGACGUGCCGGCGUCGCCCUGCACCGGUGGCUGGACCGAGGCCCCACAUUCCCAACCUCUAGGCGCCCCGGGGUCUCGAAGGGAAACAGCUCCGCCAGGAGCCCCGGGAACGCGCAAGCCCCACUGCAGCUGAGCCCGCCCGGAAAGCACGAGCCCGGGAACAAUGCCCUUCGUGUGACAGACUUUCCCCUCUGUGGGAGAAAAUAGAGUUUAACAGAAUGGCGACUUCCUGCAUUUGUGCCUUCGCCUGAGGGGUGAUUCACACAAGACCUCCCACAAAGAGGAGCUUCUAGCCAAGUCAGCCAGGGCUAGGUGCCCCAAGGGCCCUGCACCCCUUGGGGCCCCGGGGCCAGGGCACAAGGACUCAUGUGACCCGCGAGCAGCCCGGCCCACGGCCCCGCCCUGUGGCCACUUGCCUCUUGGUCUCUCCUGGGGGAGGCCCUGGCCGACCACCCUCCUGCCUUCGCCUGAGGUUCCUGCCACUCCCACACCCAAACCCCACCACGGCCAGACCCCCUCCCUGGAGCUCUGGGGCCGCUCCGGUUCAUACUUUCCUCCCCUUCAGGGCCCAAAACACAGAGAUGGUGGGACCAACCGCCCUGCUUUGGGGACACACGGCCCUUCUAUGCAGGCAUCGAUGACACCACUGCGGGCUGGGACGGUGUGGCUGAGAUGAGGCUUCACUAGGACAUCCCGCUGUGAGGCUGGUGGACGGUGGCCCGGCUGCUGCCCUCCAGAUGCACGGGGCCUUGGCGCCAAGGCCUCGCUGCCCACGGCUGCUGCCUGCCCCCGAGGGAGAGACGGAGCACGGCAGGGGUGCAGAGGCCCUCUCCUGCAGCCGCACAGCAGCCUGAGGCCCCUCCUGCCGGGCCUCCUGCCUCUCCUGCUUUCCCCGGGGGCAGGCACCCUGCAUGGGGUCUGGCCCCCCACUUGAUUCUUCACAGGUGUUUCCCCCCAGGAUCUCGUCCACAUCAGCUCCCCACUUGGCCUCUCACAUGGGAUGAAGUUCAAGCCGCCGCCGCCUCUCCUGGACCUUGUGACCUCCAGCCAAGGAGCCUCCAGGGUGGCACAGCUCCCCGCUUUCCCUGGGGAGCAGUGGGAGCUGAGUUUCCACCCUCCGGAGCUUGAGUCCCGCCUGGUGCUGUGCUUAACCUCUUCAGGCCUGCAACCCCUGCCAGGGAUCAGAGGAAGAGCCCAGACCUGGGAGGAGCACCCCUCUGCCAGAGGGUCUCUCUCCUCCUUCCCAUGCCCCUCCCCCAGCUCUACAGGAUCUGAUCUCACGAGCCCAGCCCCCACCAAGUCUUCCCCAGGAGGGGACAUUCUGGCUCAUCCACCCACCCUGCAGACAGGCAGACUGAGACCCAGAGGAAAGGGCUGAGCUGAGCCCAGCUUCGUCCCCUGGUCCGGCUCGGAGGCCCCGACAGCGAGCCUAGGGUGGCUCCGGGCAGGUGGCCGUCCCCUCUGACCCCGGGCUCGGACGGCCUCUGUGUCUGGGCCUCAGCUCAGAGCGUUUCCUGCCCGCCAGCCCCAGCCCAGCCCCUCAGGAAGUGGCCGCCUCCUGAACAAAGAGGCCGGCGGACAAUGGCCAUUGAAUUGGGCCGGGGCGCUCGCGCACGGACAGGCCACCAGCUGCCCGCGCUGAUAAGACGGCUCCGCAAGCUUGACCGGCUCUGGGAUCCGCGGCAGGAGCUCAGGGCUGGCGCGGCCCCGCCCCGCGGACUGGGGGCCAAUGGGGAGACGGCGCGCCCCGCCGGCCGCUCGGGGACCAAUCCGGGAACUCACCGGGGAGCGUCCCCGCCCCUCCAAGCGGCUCUGGCCCCGCCCCCUGCCCGGCCCGGCGCGCCCGCCCGGCUGGGCCCUGGGCGGGCCAACGAAACCAAGCUCUGGAAAGCGUUUUCCCCUCUAAAAGCGUCGGAAGUCGGCGCCUCGCUGCGCUUCCUUCGCCUACUUUGGGUGGAACAGUCCGGGAGGGCGGCCCGGCCGGCUUUCCCCGCACUCCCUGGCUCUCUGCGAGGGUCGCGGGCGGCUCGCUGUGCUCCGGGGGCAGCCUGGUCCGCACGCCUGCCUGAGGCACCCCUCCUCCGGAGGCACCAGGACACAUGGUGCACAUGGUGCAGCUCCGUGUGCGGAGGCCCGGCGCUGAGAGCCAGCUCCAAGAGACGAGCGGGGGCCCCUGCCCAGGCCCGAGCCGUGGAGCUGAGGUCAGGAGUCAGUCCCGCGCUGGCUCUGGAGGGCCCAGGUGCACCAGGUCAUCCCCCCCAGUCUGGGAGGCUCUGUGAAGAGGCAGGCACAGAACUGUAGUCAGGGAAUGUGGCAGGGUGUGUGUACGUCUGGGAAGGGGGGUCACAGCAUCUUCCAGAAGAAGCCUGGCCACCUGCAGGGGAGGAGAGGGGCUGAGAGGGGCAAGGCCUAGAGGUUUGGGAGAACUGAGAUAGGCUCUUUCCUCCCGGCAGGAUGAGGCGGCCCACUUCUGAGCCUGGCAGGCCCCAGGCAGAGCAGGGAUCUGGGGAGCUCGGGCCCACAGCAGCCUCCUGUUGUGUGUGUCCAGCCCGCAGCCCUGCCAUUACUUCCUGGCAUCACCAGCCUGCAAGCCCCGCCUUCAGCAAGCCCCUGCCCCGGUGGGAGCCUUCCCCAGGAUAGGGGUGAUACAGGGUGGGCAAAGCCAAGGCAGAGGGACACUCGCAGGCUGCAGGGCCCACGAGCGGGCCCUGACCCCAGCCAUCGGAAGCCUUCUUGGGGGAGGUGACACUUGUGUUGCAUUUGCCAGGACAGGACGGGAUAGACCCACCAGGAGAGGGAGUGGCCCAGACACAGGCUGGAGACAAGGAGGAGCCAGGUGUUUGGAGAAGGGCAAGGGGUCCAGGAGCGCAGGUGGAACAGCCAGGGGGCCGGGGGGUGUGGCCAGGCCCCAGGCAUCACCCUGACACAGCUGCCCCUUGGGCCUGUGGAGAAGGUGGCCAUUGGGAGGAGAGUGCUUGCAUGGUGUCUCUGUCAGCGUCCCAGAGGCUGGGCUGGGCCAGGAGUGAUGGUGACGGUGGUGCUGCGUAGAGGGUGCAGGCUGCGGCCCUGGAGAUGCAGGUCCAGGCUGGUGGCGGUGGUGGUGGGCACCAUCUGGCUGACAGUGGUGGUCCUGCUGGUGGGCUGGCAGGUUGCGGCCACGGGCGUGGCAGCAUGGCAGACUGCUGGGGCUGCGGUCACUGGGGGUGGUGCCAUAGGGCAGCCCACGUGGCUCCAGGUGCCUCGGAGAGGCUGCCCAGACUUCCACUAAGUGGCCUGGGGCCAUGCCCUCCAAGGAACCAGGUGUCUCCUGCCAACUCUUCCUGCCCCUCCCGCGUGCUGUGAGUGCCCCAUCUCCUGAGUAACCUAGGUAACCGUGACCCCUCAGUGGCCUGGGCAGAUGGACACACCUGGCCUUCAGGUGGAUGCAGCCCAACCCUCAAGCGGACACAACCUGACCCUCUGACCCACAGCCUGACUUAACAGCAACCUUGGCCCCAGCCGUGUCCUCGCCUUGACCACCUUCUCCACUUCACCCUUUGAUCCAAAGCCUCGGAACUGCGGCUACCCUUCCUUCCAGCAGCCACGUGGCACGCCCCGCGCCCACCACGAUGUCCCCCGCUACGGCCUCCGCAAGCACAGCCAGGUGCUCAUGGGUCACAUUUGCGUUGUUUUGUGAGACAUCCGGGCCGAGCCACAGACACCUGGGUCUGCGUGAGCAGAUACCUGCCUGGCCUCUGCCCAGCACCGGGCCCUGCUGCUCGGGCUGCAGGAAAUGGGAGGCCUGGCGGCUUCUGACUCCCGCUCUUUAUCAGCCCACGACGCUUCCUGCGGCCAGCGAGGCCUGGGCCCCGUGGCGCCGGGACACCAGGUCAGCAGUGACUCACCGAGAGCCCGGCCUGGGGACACCCUGGCCCACACCUCCUGCCUCCUGAGAACUCCCGCCCUCACCCUGGCCCACACCUGGCUGGCAGGGCCACCCUGAGCCCCCAUUCCCUGGCCCUCCCACCAUUCUCCACCCACCAGCAUCUUCCCCAUCUUUUAGCCCUCCCCUCCCUCCCCCAUCCCCGACAAGCAGGGCUGAGGUGCCCCCACCUCUUUGUGCCCCCCCCCCAGUCCCAAGUGCUCAUAGCCAGUAGGGUGGGCAGCCGGGGCUGCAGGGCCCACCAGGGCUGAGCACAAGCUCCUUGCUUUGCCCACCUAGGCGGCCACAAGUUUGCUCCCUACCCACGGGCCCUGCUGUCCCCCAGCUCUGCAAGGAGCACCACACCGCACCUUCUGAGGACCCUGACCCCUCCCACCCUCAGCUCUCACUGCUUCUCCCCACACCCUGUCACCCAAGCCCAGAUUGGCAGCGCACCUACCUCCCCUGUGCCCCAUCACGGCCUGACCAGUUCCUCCUCCUUCUGGUCUCAGUGUGGACCCCUCUUCCUCCAGGAAGCCUUCCUGGUCUAAUCCCUACAAUCCUCCCACCCUGGGGCCUCCCAAGGGAUGUCUCCAGUCCAUGGAACUCGUCUCUGAGCUUUAUUGGACCCUCAGCGGGAACCCAGAGUCUGCUGCUCACUGGCAGAACCCACCUCCCACCCUCGCCCCAGUGCACCCCUCGCCCAGCACGCCCGGCAACACUGCGUGGGUCAGGACGGUAACUGAAGUUGGGGACACAGGGCAGAGGGGGCCCUGGGAAGCUCAUCUUGGUCUGAACUCGCAGGGCGCCCCGCCCCAGGUCCGGGGCAGAUGUAAAUGGCAAAGGAAACAGCCAUCUGCGUGGGCCCCUUCCCAAAGAAAUGCCGACCCCUCCCUGGAGCAGGGCUCCUUGUGGGACUGACCCGCACAUGCACGAGCACGUGCGCACAAGCACACACAGAACCUGCAAAAUGGUCCUCAUCGUGCACACGCAGCCAGCCCACUCAGGCCCACCCGGGAGUCCUGUAGCACCGCCUGCUGGCUAACCAAGCAGCACCCCCUUCUACUUGCCGAGCCUGCGGGGCUAGGAAGUGGGUGCUUCGCACGGCAUGUGCCCAUGUGUGCGUGUGCACUCCUCUGCACCCCGUGGCCUGGGCCCUGUGACCACCAUGCCACCUCUCGUACAUUCACAUUCCCAGGCCGAGGUCAGUGAUGGUCGUUUGGAAAAUCUGUCUCUGAACAGCAGCAGUCCUGCCCAGGGCUAGGCCGGGGGCGCACCAACGGGGGCGGGGGAUUGAAUGCCAUCCACAGGCUGGUGUGCUCCGGAUCUCCACCCCUUGUGUGGCCUUUCCGUCACUUCAAGCUCUUCCAUCGGCUGCCCUGCACACCCAGCAGGCCCCUGAACCCACGGCCCCCAUCCCCCAGUGACAGCCACAGGGGCCUCCUGCGCAGACCCUGCCUGGCUCCCCUCCCUCUGGCGGGCCUCGAACCUCUGCCCCGCCCUCCGCUGCACACCGACUGCUCACCCUCUAUGCCCUGCCUGCUGCAUUUCCCCACAGCGUGGAGGCUGUUCCCUCCCUGCCGUGUCCCCGGUCCCACGACCAGCCUCAGAGCCUCGGAGCUUUGCCAUGAGGCUUUGCCAAGGCCUGCUGAGGCCUUGAAUGGGAAAUACGUACUUUCCAGAGCCCUGCGUGUAGUUGGAUGGAGUGUCCUGGUAAGGGGCUUUGGUGCAGAGGGAAACCCAGAAGUGGUGAGACCUCAGGGAGGCCUGGGGGGUGGGAUGGACACAGAGGCAGACGCUAACAUCUCCAUUUCCCAUCACUUGCCGUGACGUGGCACGUGCAGCUGCUGAUCCCAGGGGGCCCACCUCCCUCUGCAGUCAGGCCCUGGCCAGAUGGCGUGGGUCCUGCCGGCUUGGCCCUCGCUGACCCAAGCCCUCCCGCCCGAGGGGCAUCCCCCCAGCUGCCAGCUCAGUUCCACACUCCUGCUGAGGCUGGAGGCCAGGGCCACAGUGCCAUCACCCUGUGAAGCGCCGGACCGUCGUCUUCCUAGGCCCCACCAAGGCGGGCACCUGGCAGACGACGUCCUUAUUCACCUCUGGAUGGCGGGAGCGAUUACUCGCUCUGGUCAGCGUGAAGGCUCCUCAUCGCCAAGGGGAGUGUAGUCCCCACGCUGUCUGGCAAAGCGGCGUUUCCUCUCGUCAGCCAGGGCCUCCGGGCUCCAGUGAAGCCUGCGUGGCCGUAGCAGUUUGCUCCCUGUGAGGCGUGAUGACCCUCGCUGCUCCACCACAGCCCCGUGGGGCCAUCCCAGGAUGUGCCUCCUUCACGGCCUCCCACUGGGAUCCUCCCAGUGGAUCAGGGUCAAGGUUGUGAUGACGGCUGGGGUCAGGGUUGAGGUCAGGGUCAGGUCCUAUCAAUCUGGGGCCCCUGCCCUCACAGGGUCCAGCCGGGCCCAUUGUGUGGCGACAAUGGCUUCCUGAGCCAGGUUCCUCUCCCAGCAGGAAAGCCAUCAGGCCUCCACUUUGCCACCGCCCACGGCCCCUUUGAAGGGCCUGGGCGGUCAGCGCCUGAGGCCUGCAGCCUCGGAGCCAGUUCCUCGGCCCCCACCCCUUGCCAGCCUGGCCGGGGCCCAGGCCUCCCCAGGACCGGCCAACCCUGCAGGCACGUAGGCACAGGACAGCAUAGGCGGGCACUGCCCAGGCAGGGAAGCUGCCGGCCGCACGCGGGCACAGCCCCAAUCACGGCCGUCCCUCAGGAGCUCCUACCCUCAGGAAGCAUUGGCCCCUGUGUCCCCCAAGGGGCCAGGGUGUGUGUGCAGGGUGGCUGAGUGUCCUACUGACAUGGCAGCUUGGGGCCUGGGAGGGUGUUGGCAGGACACCUGGGCUGGACCUGGUGGGUAGGUGCCCAGAACCCAAGGCCCCCUUGCAGGAUAGGGGACAGGCAGAGGACCUGCCCCAGCUAGGCCAGGCCUCCCCACCAAGCCCAGCUGGUCCUGGGGCGCCCCCUGCUGCCUGGGGUG